CCUGCAAGAGGCGCUGGAACAGGUGCUGUAGGUUGGAAUGGCCCAUGUGCACCAAGAGGAGGAAACCCUCCAGCUUUUGGUAAGGAUCCAAGCAGUGGAUUGUUUGCAGGUGAUGGAGCCCGAGCACCAUUUGGUUGCCCACAUGAAUGGUCCACAAAGAGAGUUUUAAUGUCUGGAUUUGGCCUUGGAUUUUUACAAAGUUGAUGUUGCCAAUUCAAGCUUUGGUUAAUUAGAGUCCGUAGCCUUGAAUUCUUAAGGUUAGGAAACUGCAAUUUAUCACGAAACAGAGGAUUUGCUUCAAUAAGCUUCUUGAGCUCCACCAACAU
RNAcentral lists this unclassified non-coding RNA (326 nucleotides) under Hevea brasiliensis (rubber tree). Lineage: Eukaryota; Viridiplantae; Streptophyta; Magnoliopsida; Malpighiales; Euphorbiaceae. The record is from RNAcentral.